GACGAACCGAGCGAACGUUGUUCGGAAUCACUGGGCUUAAAGGGCGCGUAGGCGGGCCGGCGAGUCCGGGGUGAAAUCCCCCCGCUUAACGGGGGAACGGCCCCGGGUACUGCCGGCCUGGAGGGGGGUAGGGGCGUGCGGAACUAUGGGUGGAGCGGUGAAAUGCGUUGAUAUCCAUAGGAACUCCGGUGGCGAAGGCGGCACGCUGGGCCCUUUCUGACGCUGAGGCGCGAAAGCCAGGGGAGCGAACGGG
Molecule: ribosomal RNA, 253 nt
Filed under: uncultured bacterium
Lineage: Bacteria
Description: partial 16S ribosomal RNA
Rfam family: Bacterial small subunit ribosomal RNA
Source: RNAcentral